CAGCAGCCACGGGAAUACAGAGGGUGCGAGCGUUAAUCGGAUUUACUGGGCGUAAAGCGUGCGUAGGCGGCUUUUUAAGUCGGAUGUGAAAUCCCUGAGCUUAACUUAGGAAUUGCAUUCGAUACUGGGAAGCUAGAGUAUGGGAGAGGAUGGUAGAAUUCCAGGUGUAGCGGUGAAAUGCGUAGAGAUCUGGAGGAAUACCGAUGGCGAAGGCAGCCAUCUGGCCUAAUACUGACGCUGAGGUACGAAAGCAUGGGGAGCAAACAGGAUUAGAUACCCGAGUAGUCCCUGUCUCUUAUAC
This 301-nucleotide ribosomal RNA is filed under the name uncultured bacterium. Its description in RNAcentral is "partial 16S ribosomal RNA". It matches the Rfam family "Bacterial small subunit ribosomal RNA", at positions 509 to 807 of the family's 1533-position model. The record is from RNAcentral.